GAUGAACGCUGGCGGCGUGCCUAAUACAUGCAAGUCGAGCGAACGGACGAGAAGCUUGCUUCUCUGAUGUUAGCGGCGGACGGGUGAGUAACACGUGGAUAACCUACCUAUAAGACUGGGAUAACUUCGGGAAACCGGAGCUAAUACCGGAUAAUAUUUUGAACCGCAUGGUUCAAACGUGAAAGACGGUCUUGCUUUCACUUAUAGAUGAAUCCGCGCUGCAUUAGCUAGUUGGUAAGGUAACGGCUUACCAAGGCAACGAUGCAUAGCCGACCUGAGAGGGUGAUCGGCCACACUGGAACUGAGACACGGUCCAGACUCCUACGGGAGGCAGCAGUAGGGAAUCUUCCGCGAUGGGCGAAAGCCUGACGGAGCAACGCCGCGUGAGUGAUGAAGGUCUUCGGAUCGUAAAACUCUGUUAUUAGGGAAGAACAUAUGUGUAAGUAACUGUGCACAUCUUGACGGUACCUAAUCAGAAAGCCACGGCUAACUACGUG
This 497-nucleotide ribosomal RNA is filed under the name uncultured bacterium. RNAcentral describes it as "partial 16S ribosomal RNA". It matches the Rfam family "Bacterial small subunit ribosomal RNA", at positions 28 to 507 of the family's 1533-position model. The record is from RNAcentral.